AAUCACAUGGUAUAAUAAUUCUUGUAAGCAAGUUGAUGGUGGUAGCUGAACUUCUACUAAGGAAGGUGAUGCCUAUGAAAUUUUUGGCAGUAACUUCCGAAAGGAGAGUAAGUAUGUCAGAUUAUGAGUUGGCAGUAAUUAUGUUAAUGUCAAUUCAACUUCUGAUUGACGUUUUUAA
This 178-nucleotide small RNA is filed under the name Staphylococcus sp. HMSC071G07. RNAcentral describes it as "Listeria sRNA rli28". It matches the Rfam family "Listeria sRNA rli28". The record is from Rfam by way of RNAcentral. Lineage: Bacteria; Bacillati; Bacillota; Bacilli; Caryophanales; Staphylococcaceae.